Long non-coding RNA from Varanus komodoensis (Komodo dragon), 1088 nucleotides. RefSeq lists it as uncharacterized. The record is from RefSeq and is a predicted model, not a curated record. NCBI's taxonomy places the organism in Eukaryota, Metazoa, Chordata, Lepidosauria, Squamata, Varanidae. The transcript has 2 exons.
GUGUGGCGGCGCUGUUGCCUUCCGCCUGUGCCGCGGAGCUGCGGGAGCGCCGCCUUUCCAGGCUGCCUACUUGACCGAGGACGCUGGCGGCAGUCCAGGUAUACAGCCCCCCCCAGGGCGGUGCUGACAGCAGUGAUGGAGCUGAUCAUCUGCUCGGGAUGGAAGUGCAGAAUAAAAAUGCUGCCCUUAUGAGGCACUGGAUGGACAGAGAAAGAACAGCACCUGAGACAAUAUCCUUAUAAGGCAUCUGAAGGCCAGAAGAGUCAAAAAAGAACAUAAAUAGGUACCUCUUUAAUUGGGGUGGGAUCUAUAGUAAAGCCUGACAGAUAGAACAAAGUCAAAGAAACCCACACAUUUUUACAGCCUAAUAGCCUGCUUUAGAUAUCCCACUGCAAGCUACUGGGAUACACUUGGGAACUGUCUGCCCUGUAAAUAGUCAUUCCCACCAUUCCCACCAAGUGGGGCUGGGAAUGAUGCAGCUAGGAGGGCAACAGGCCCACUGCAGGCCAGAUGACAUCGGUGGGCAGGGCCACAUCCACUGACAUCACCCCCCCACCCCUGCCCAUUUUUCCUUUCAGUGUAUUGGGAAGGGUGAAGGUUCACACCCCUCUCAGCACAGAGAAAGCACAAUUCAAGCUCCCAGCUUUACAUGCUCCAUGCUGUGCCUCUGAGUUGAGGGACUUUUUAUCGAAUUUUCAGUGGGGCCGGCACACACAGCCCUCAAGACACCUUGAGUUUACUGAGAUAACUCACAUCUGGAUUGUCACAGCCAAUCAUUUCUCCAUAGGAUACUUGAUGGCACAAGCAAUAUGUGGGUUCAUUGGGAUCUACUGGCAUGUCCAAGACAUCUGAAGGAUGAACCGACAGGAUGGUAUCAGCUAAUUCAGACCUGCAAUAGAAGCAACACAAAGAAAUACUAAGUUCAUGCCAGUGAUUCUGGAUGGUUCAGUACUUGGAUUUUGUAAUGCCAUCUUUUGUCAGCCAUGUUCAUAUAUUACAAGGUCAUAUUUCUCUUGAAUUUGCACAUCUAAACAUGCUAAUGGACCUAGCAAAAUUCAUAUCAAUAAAAUCACAAGGCAGUGAAUUAA